RNAcentral lists this ribosomal RNA (807 nucleotides) under uncultured bacterium. RNAcentral describes it as "bacterial SSU rRNA". It matches the Rfam family "Bacterial small subunit ribosomal RNA", at positions 8 to 808 of the family's 1533-position model. The record is from RNAcentral.
AGAGUUUGAUCAUGGCUCAGGAUGAACGCUAGCGGCAGGCUUAAUACAUGCAAGUCGUGGGGCAGCAUGGUGUAGCAAUACACUGAUGGCGACCGGCAAACGGGUGCGGAACACGUACGCAACCUUCCUUUAACUGGAGAAUAGCCCGGCGAAAGCCGGAUUAAUACUCCGUAACAUUGUGGAGUGGCAUCACUCUAUAAUUAUAGCUCCGGCGGUUAAAGAUGGGCGUGCGUCUGAUUAGGUAGUUGGCGGGGUAACGGCCCACCAAGCCUACGAUCAGUAACUGGUGUGAGAGCACGACCAGUCACACGGGCACUGAGACACGGGCCCGACUCCUACGGGAGGCAGCAGUAAGGAAUAUUGGUCAGUGGACGCAAGUCUGAACCAGCCAUGCCGCGUGGAGGAUGAAGGUCCUCUGGAUUGUAAACUUCUUUUAUUUGGGAAGAAACCCCCGAUUUCUAUUGGGGUUGACGGUACCAGAUGAAUAAGCACCGGCUAACUCCGUGCCAGCAGCCGCGGUAAUACGGAGGGUGCAAGCGUUAUCCGGAUUCACUGGGUUUAAAGGGUGCGUAGGCGGGUUGGUAAGUCCGUGGUGAAAUCUCCAAGCUUAACUUGGAAACUGCCGUGGAUACUAUCAAUCUUGAAUAUAGUGGAGGUGAGCGGAAUAUGUCAUGUAGCGGUGAAAUGCUUAGAUAUGACAUAGAACACCCAUUGCGAAGGCAGCUCACUACACUAUUAUUGACGCUGAGGCACGAAAGCGUGGGGAUCAAACAGGAUUAGAUACCCUGGUAGUCCACGCCCUAAACG